This is a long non-coding RNA of Argentina anserina (silverweed cinquefoil), 977 nucleotides long. RefSeq lists it as uncharacterized. The transcript is spliced from 4 exons. The record is from RefSeq and is a predicted model, not a curated record. NCBI's taxonomy places the organism in Eukaryota, Viridiplantae, Streptophyta, Magnoliopsida, Rosales, Rosaceae.
UCUCUUAUCUCUCUCUCAUUUCUCCUCCCUAACACAAUCGCGAUGGCAUCAAAUUGGGAACAGAGACGCACCGCCGCAAUACGAGACUAUGGACGCUCCGCCGCGAGAGGUUAUUCCAAUCUCCCAGUACUCUAGAGUCCGCGCAGGUCAGAUUCGCUCUCCAAACCCUCGUCCUCUUCUUAUACCGAACUAGAGCAUUUACCUUUUAUGCUUUCUAGGGUUUCGAAUUGCACUUUUCACAUGAGUCGAUUGCAUCGUGUUGAUUUGGUUUCUCUGUAUCGUAUUGAUUGAGAAAUUGAACGUUUUCUUCGUAUUUCAUGUCGCCGUUCUGAAUCGGAGGGUUUUGGUGGCAUGAUAGCUCCGACCAAAUCGAUGAGUUGAUCGUGGAAGCUGCGAGGAAACCUUCAAUGGUGGAGGAGGCCUGGGAGAGGCUCAGAAAAUCCAUCGUUUUCUACAGAAGCAAACCAGUGGGGGGAUCUUGCUGCCAUGGAUCCAAACGCAGGGGACUUGAAUUAAAAUCAGUAGGAACCAAUUAUAACAGGAAGAUGCAAUGUAUUGUAUAAUUGGAACACAAGUUGGAAGGUGGAGCAGAUUACUUUCUACAUCGGGAGUUUCUUGGUGUUUCUAUGCUGGGAACUAAGUCACCAUUUACAUCAGGUGAUUAAUACCAAGAGAUGCAUAUUUGCGCCGCCUAAAGGUUCAGCUGUAGCAGAAACAAAUCCAAUUAGUUACUGUCUUCAAAUGACCAGCGUUUAGAUUCGAAAUAUUCUGAACCAUUCGACAACUUUCAGUUAUAGGUACUUCAGUAUGCACCAGUUUUUGGCAGAGGAUGAGUUGGUUUGGCUACUCUUCUAUAGCAACAGAUAGAGUUCUUGUAGUGGUUUAGUUAGUAGGUUAGGAUUAGCGGGUGUUGUUAUCAUAUAUAUUGUUUUGUAAUUAAAAUGGAUUAUUAAUCUUUAAUGAAGUGAUAUUUUCUC